AUGCCUGUCUGGACAGGGGCUGGGGCAGCAAACUAUCAAGGGAGGACCGAUAGGAUCAAAUUCCUUUUCACAGAACAAAUGCUUCUUUGAGGAUAAGCAGGACCGGCCCGAGGCCGUGGAGGACGCAGGUGAGAAGCAGAGCCAGCCCCCAGCUCCUAGGGCCUGUUGGCUUUACCUACACGGCGCACCGGCAGGCCGGGGUGUCUGGGGAAUCCACACACAGCAGUAACAUGAACCCAAGUCUCCCACUGCUGUUGAAUUACACUCUCAGAACUUGAGCUCCGAAAGUUCCCUCAGAGACCACGAAGUUCACAUCCCUUGUUUCACAGAUGAGUCACCGGAGAAGGGACCAGAACUAAGAACGCAUUGCAUCCCUCAGCCAACGCUGGAUGCUCCUCUGUGCCAGACACUGCCCUGGGCCUUAAGGACAGAGCAGAGAACGAAGCAGCCAAGGCCUCAGCCUUGUGCGGUUCACACACAAGGAGAGGAAACGGAAAAUAAAAGAAUUCCGAUUGUGGGAGGUUUUAUGAGGGAAAUAAACUGAGUGAUGCGAAGCAGGGGUUGGCAAACUACGGCCCGCGGGCCAGAUCCCGCUCCAGGGCUCUUUGUCCGCCAGCAAGCUAAGAACGGUUUUACGUGUCUAAAGCUUGUAAAAAAGAAAAAGAAUAUGCCACAGAGACCGUACAGCCCACAAAGCCUGGAGGUUUGCUCUCUGUAUGGAAAAAGUCUGCCAACUCCUGGCGAGAGCAGGGGCAGCUCUGAACUAGUAAGGUCUGCGCUCCUACCUCGUAACGCGGCCUCUUUCUACUCCCCCAGAGCUGCCUCCACCUCAGGGAGAAUAAAACAUUGAAAUGGUUCGUCAAAAGUUCACCGGAGUUGGCAACCUGCCCGCAGCCAAGAGUCCGGAUUUCCGGACGCCUCCUUCCCCACCUGCUGUCUGGGGUCUUAAGUAACCUGGUCCUCAAUCUGGCCACAGCUGUGCCUGCCCCUCUCCCCAACCGGCAGGCCCAGGAGCCACACAGGCAACAGCUUCUCCCACGGACCCCCAAGCUUCUCCCACGGACCCCCAACCCCUCCGCUCACCUCCGACUCCCGCCUGAACUACUUGGUCAAAAAUAGAACCGGGUGGAUCCCUAUUUCAAGGCACCUCCCUGGAAAUCCAAUACCCAGAAACACUGACUUCUUUUAUUUCAGUCAAAUACAUUUCUCAGUCCAAGGCUCAGAGUUCAACUUUACAAACCCUGGCAUUUGGAAACAAAGGAAGAGAUGUUUAUGUCCAAAGAAAAUCAAAUAGUCACCUCUAGCUCCCCUGGAAGGAAAGUCCAUAGGACACAUUCCAGCAGAAACUGUGAAUGGAAACCCACGGGAAGCAAGAAGUAUGGCACAAAGCCCUGAGCUCACCACUCAGCAGCAUCUGUGACACAUUCCGCCACAUUUCUGUGCCAAACGGGAACUCAGCUGUCUCUUAAAAAAUAUCUGUCCCAUCAAUGUUCAACACAGAGCCUCUCCUCUUACACAGCCCUCACCCUGGAAGGUUCCAGAAGACCAUUUUGUUCACAGUGAAAUCUCGAGUAAAUUUCACUCGAACAGUUAACUUUGAAAUUGUUACACUAGCCAUUCCCUAACAUUAAAAUAACUCGCAUGUGCACACAAAGGGAUACAAUAAAUUCUUACUAUGGUGAUGGGGAAACGUCUCGUGAAAGGUGAUGGAUGGAACACGCUCACCUGUGAUUCCUCCCCGAAUCCUAUUAAAACCCUAGUAAAGAGAUUCUUUAAAGGAAUAAAUGCACAAGAAUAUAAAGAGUAAGAAACAGCAGGCACUAAAUUUGGAAGCUGGAAAGCAGAUGGAUAAAUGGUAACCAAUAGACUAGAAGCCAGAAAGCCGAGGGGAGAAAGCUAAGACUCCACCUGAUUCACACAAAAGACCCCCCAGCAGGAGGGAGCAGCUACAGGGCCUCCUGGCCGGAGGGUGAAAGAGGGGUUGGAAACAGAAGGAUUAGCUGAGAGUCGACCUAAGGAGAAGUGAGACCUCUCCCAUCCCCCAUAGUUGGCCAAAAGCCCCUUCUGCCUCCAGAAGGCUGGAAGCUGAGUCUUUGGAGAAAGUGAAACAGGAUGUCCACACUAGGGACAUCAAGGACCUAUGGGAAGGAAGGACCUGAGCCAAAAAUAGGAAAUCAAAUCACAGCUGACACACUGGACAUCGAGAGCCACAGUCUUCUUCCCCGACUCAGAUCUCAGAGUGCCAACAAAAAAGGAGAUUGGAAAAUUUCACUGAGGAAUCUGAUCAAGUCAAAAGAGCUGCGGGAGCUAACAUUUGUUUUGUGUCCUCUGAGGACAAAUGAUAGACAGUUCCAGAUUGAAAGACUCACCAAACACCAGCAUAAUGGAUGAAAAUAAACCUACAGGAAAGCACAUGAUGAUUCAAUUUCAGACAGGAAAGACUCUACAAGCUUCCACAGGGGAAAAAGGAGAAAAAGUCUACAUACCAAGGAUCAAAAAUUAUAAUGGCAUUGGGUUUCUCCCCCUUAGAAGCUAGAAAGCAAUAGAACAACUCAAAAUUCUGAAGGAAAAGUAUUUCCAAUCUAGAACCCUGCACCUAAACUGUCAAUUAACUGUCAGAAUAGAAUAGACAAUUUCAGACUUGCAAGAAUCAAAGAUCUCAUCUCUCAUCUACCCUUUACCCCAUUUGGAAAGGGUACACAAGAGAUAACCCUUACUGGACAUGUUCCACCAAAAUGAGGAAGACAUGGAAUCCAGGGAGCAGAGGGUCCAACCCAGGAGAAAGUCAAGGAAAUAUCCAGAAUAAUGUUGAGGGGAGAUUCCAGGAUGACCACCGUGCAGCAGAUCUGGAGAGAAACUAAUCCAGAUAAAACUGGAGCUUUCCCAGCCUCCCUUGCAGCUAGGGCACAGACCUGUGACCCCAGGUCCACUAGUCAAUGGAUCCAUGUGAGAUUUCACUUCUGGAGAAAAUGAUGUAAAGAAACAGGUGUCAAUGAGAGACCCUUGCUCUUCAGGAGAAGGUAGAGGGGGAGGCAUCUAACCUUCAGGGUCAGCAGAGGUGGAAGACGGCCUCCCUGACAUCCAGCCCCGUGGUCUGAGCUCUGUCCCCGGCUGUGACGUCUCCAGGCCUGGCCCUCCCCCUGCCUGGAGCUUCUGGGGCUAGUCAGCAUCCCAUAACAAAUCCUCUCCGAGCUAGAGUGCCGUCUGCUUUUUGCAGCUAAGCACUUGAUGGAUAGAAGGUGACCAAAUAUUUAGGACUGAAUUAAUAAUAUGCAGAAAAUUAGCAAACAAAAAAGGCAAUUAUUAAGUCUAAGAAAAACAAAUUGUAAAAGAAAGAAAUGUAAUUUCAGGAUACUACAUGAAUCAGCUGGGAACAUUAUUUGCUUCACCUCAUUAAUAUAAACAUUGAAAUCUGACUUACAGUUGUAAAUACA
Molecule: long non-coding RNA, 3434 nt
Filed under: Equus caballus (horse)
Lineage: Eukaryota; Metazoa; Chordata; Mammalia; Perissodactyla; Equidae
Description: lncRNA (ENSECAG00000049545.1)
Source: RNAcentral